RNAcentral lists this ribosomal RNA (468 nucleotides) under uncultured bacterium. RNAcentral describes it as "partial 16S ribosomal RNA". It matches the Rfam family "Bacterial small subunit ribosomal RNA", at positions 28 to 507 of the family's 1533-position model. The record is from RNAcentral.
GACGAACGCUGGCGGCGUGCUUAACACAUGCAAGUCGAACGGAAAGGCCCUGCUUUUGUGGGGUGCUCGAGUGGCGAACGGGUGAGUAACACGUGAGUAACCUGCCCUUGACUUUGGGAUAACUUCAGGAAACUGGGGCUAAUACCGGAUAGGAGCUCCUGCUGCAUGGUGGGGGUUGGAAAGUUUCGGCGGUUGGGGAUGGACGCGCGGCUUAUCAGCUUGUUGGUGGGGUAGUGGCUUACCAAGGCUUUGACGGGUAGCCGGCCUGAGAGGGUGACCGGCCACAUUGGGACUGAGAGACGGCCCAGACUCCUACGGGAGGCAGCAGUGGGGAAUAUUGCACAAUGGGCGGAAGCCUGAUGCAGCAACGCCGCGUGCGGGAUGACGGCCUUCGGGUUGUAAACCGCUUUCGCCUGUGACGAAGCGUGAGUGACGGUAAUGGGUAAAGAAGCACCGGCUAACUACGUG